AAAGUACCUGGACUUCUAUGCCCAUGCUUCUAGCAGCCAGCCUCCUAAAAUACCUCUAGUUGAAGCCAAAGUUAGAAUCCUUCUAUGAAACUACAGGAUUAAAAUGGGAUGGUUACAUGACCCAGGCUUGACCAAUCAGAUCAUCCAAACCCUUUGCCACAGUGAUUGGUCCAGGGAUACAUGCAUGAGCCAGCUCAGGCCUAAACCACACUCAUCUUGUGGAUGACACUGGAGCUGUGACAGUCUGUUCUGUCCAGGCUGGGUGUCUUUUAUUUUUACUGGAAAUAAGAUUAUCACAGAAUUGCUGGCUCUUGAUACUCUUUCCCAUCAACUCCCCCAAUGGAAAUGCUUUCAACCAGUGCAGAAGUAAAAAAUUACCCAAAGGCUGUAUGAUGCAAACUCUUUCUUUGGCUUUAUCUUACUGAUAAG
This 429-nucleotide non-coding RNA is filed under the name Pongo abelii (Sumatran orangutan). Lineage: Eukaryota; Metazoa; Chordata; Mammalia; Primates; Hominidae. The record is from RNAcentral.